Molecule: ribosomal RNA, 292 nt
Filed under: uncultured bacterium
Lineage: Bacteria
Description: partial 16S ribosomal RNA
Rfam family: Bacterial small subunit ribosomal RNA
Source: RNAcentral
GUGCCAGCAGCCGCGGUAAUACGGGGGGUGCAAGCGUUGUUCGGAAUUAUUGGGCGUAAAGAGCGUGUAGGCGGCUUGAUAAGUCAGAUGUGAAAGCCCUGGGCUUAACCCAGGAAGUGCAUUUGAAACUGUCUUGCUGGAGUAAGGGAGGGGGAAGUGGAAUUCCUGGUGUAGAGGUGAAAUUCGUAGAUAUCAGGAGGAACACCGGUGGCGAAGGCGACUUCCUGGCCCUAUACUGACGCUGAGACGCGAGAGCGUGGGUAGCAAACAGGAUUAGAAACCCUAGUAGUCC